Molecule: long non-coding RNA, 234 nt
Organism: Bubalus bubalis (water buffalo)
Lineage: Eukaryota; Metazoa; Chordata; Mammalia; Artiodactyla; Bovidae
Exons: 2
Source: RefSeq, a predicted model, not a curated record
GAAGGUUCUGCCUUCGAUUAGAUCUAUCGGCAGGUUUUUGGCUGAGAAUUCACAGACCUGUGGAUCAGGUUAACAUGUGAAGGGUUAAUGCUGACUCCUCUGACCUGCUUAGUCCCAAGGAGCCACGUAUUCUAAGUUGCCAGCUUCCAACAAGGAGAGGAGAGGAAUGCUCCCUUCCUCCCAGUGCGCUCACACUGCUGUAUAGGAGAACAGAGCAGCCAGCUGGGAGCCAGG